CGGACGGGUGAGUAAUGUCUGGGAAACUGCCUGAUGGAGGGGGAUAACUACUGGAAACGGUAGCUAAUACCGCAUAACGCGCAAGACCAAAGAGGGGGACCUUCGGGCCUCUUGCCAUCGGAUGUGCCCAGAUGGGAUUAGCUAGUAGGUGGGGUAACGGCUCACCUAGGCGACGAUCCCUAGCUGGUCUGAGAGGAUGACCAGCCACACUGGAACUGAGACACGGUCCAG
This 231-nucleotide ribosomal RNA is filed under the name uncultured bacterium. RNAcentral describes it as "partial 16S ribosomal RNA". It matches the Rfam family "Bacterial small subunit ribosomal RNA", at positions 99 to 334 of the family's 1533-position model. The record is from RNAcentral.